GUGGGGAAUAUUGGACAAUGGGCGAAAGCCUGAUCCAGCCAUGCCGCGUGUGUGAAGAAGGCCUUCGGGUUGUAAAGCACUUUAAGCGAGGAGGAAGGUUCGUCACCUAAUACGUGACGGAAUUGACGUUACUCGCAGAAUAAGCACCGGCUAACUCUGUGCCAGCAGCCGCGGUAAUACAGAGGGUGCAAGCGUUAAUCGGAAUUACUGGGCGUAAAGCGCGCGUAGGCGGUUGUGUAAGUUGGAUGUGAAAUCCCCGGGCUUAACCUGGGCACUGCAUUCAAAACUGCACGGCUAGAGUAUUGGAGAGGAAGGUAGAAUUCCAGGUGGAGCGGUGAAAUGCGUAGAGAUCUGGAGGAAUACCGAUGGCGAAGGCAGCCUUCUGGCCAAAUACUGACGCUGAGGUGCGAAAGCAUGGGGAGCAAACAGGAUUAGAAACCCCAGUAGUCC
Molecule: ribosomal RNA, 450 nt
Filed under: uncultured bacterium
Lineage: Bacteria
Description: partial 16S ribosomal RNA
Rfam family: Bacterial small subunit ribosomal RNA
Source: RNAcentral